This 1023-nucleotide unclassified non-coding RNA is filed under the name Cryptaphelenchus sp. 64 MP-2019. Its description in RNAcentral is "sequence contains 18S rRNA gene, ITS1, 5.8S rRNA gene, ITS2, 28S rRNA gene". The stretch from base 1 to 191 matches the Rfam family "Eukaryotic small subunit ribosomal RNA", at positions 1642 to 1831 of the family's 1831-position model. The record is from RNAcentral. Lineage: Eukaryota; Metazoa; Nematoda; Chromadorea; Rhabditida; Aphelenchoididae.
UGAUUACGUCCCUGCCCUUUGUACACACCGCCCGUCGCUGCCCGGGACUGGGUUACCUCGAGAAAACUAGGGAUCGUCGUUGUUCAAUGUUUCGGUAUUGACUUUGGUGAGAACGAGUUUAAUCGCGGUGGCCUGAACCGGGCAAAAGUCGUAACAAGGUAGCCGUAGGUGAACCUUCGGCUGGAUCAUUACCGCUAACGACUAUAAAUUUUUGGUGAACCGAAAGGUUCUCCAAAAAACUUCCGUUCUGGACUGCAUGUUUCUUUCGGGAGACUUGUGGUUCGGGAUGAAGAGAGAUGACCUAACGGCUUGGCUAGGAUUCUAGGUUUCGGAAGAGCAGUUGUGUUACACGACCGUGGCUGUGUUGACUCCGAUUCGGCAGCGGUUCAUUAGGACCGUAGAAUUAAUGACUCCGAGAGGGCGCCUAGCGAAUUUUUCAUUUUUCAUUUUUUUUCAAUGAACAAGAAUUAAGUUGUAUCGAUGGAUCACUUGGUUCGUGGGUCGAUGAAGAUCGCAGUGAAUUGCGAUAAUAAAUAUGAAUUACAGAUAUUUAGAAUACAAUGUUAUCGAAUGCAUAUUGCGCCGAUGGGUUCUUGCCCUUCGGCGUGUACGAUUCAGGGUGUUUUCUCACAAAACACUUCACUUAUAACUGCGAGAGUGUAUUGUUUAUAGCGAUUGGGCCGUCAAUCGUUGUCUAGGCCAAAUGCUUUGUCAUGAUAUUCGUGACGUAUGAGCGUUUGACGAACAAUAAUGAGCCCCGUAUUCCAAACAAGUGGUUAAUAUUUCAUGCCGUUUUCAUUCGUAAUCAAUGUUGCUUUAUGACAAGAUAUUGAGCGUAAAGUAAUGUGGAGGGAAUGGAGGAUAGAAUGGCAUGGAAUAGAGCUCUCUCGCAAGAGAUUGAGCUACGCUUGGCGGUGUCUUAUUUUGAUUAAACCACCUGAAUUGUGCAAGAUCACCUGCUGAACUUAAGCAUAUCAGUAAGCAGAGGAAAAGAAACAAACAUGGAUUUCCUUAGUAACGGCG